UGGAUUGUGGCUCAGCGGUAGAGCACUCACCUAGCACAUGUGAGGCCCUGGGUUUGAUACUCAGCACUACAU
RNAcentral lists this transfer RNA (72 nucleotides) under Ictidomys tridecemlineatus (thirteen-lined ground squirrel). Its description in RNAcentral is "Spermophilus tridecemlineatus (thirteen-lined ground squirrel) tRNA". It matches the Rfam family "tRNA". From Rfam's summary of the family: Transfer RNA (tRNA) molecules are approximately 80 nucleotides in length. Their secondary structure includes four short double-helical elements and three loops (D, anti-codon, and T loops). The record is from Rfam by way of RNAcentral. Lineage: Eukaryota; Metazoa; Chordata; Mammalia; Rodentia; Sciuridae.